GGAAGUAUACAGAUCCUUUAUUUCAAUAAAAGUACUAAUACCACACUGUAAAAAUACUCUCUUACAAGUAAAAGGAAAAGAAAAUAGUAGGCCAACAAACAUGGAGUAAAAGGAAUAAAAAACCCAAAUCUGCGCUACAUGGAAGGGGGACAUAAUUAUUGUUGGCUACUGAUGUACAACCACAUUGAACAUUGUUAUUUUAUGAAUGAAAUAGACAUAACAAACCUGAGGGCCAAUUUGGGAUCAGUUGGACUACACUAAUGUAGUGGAGUAAAAAGUAAAAUAUUUCUCUCUGAAAUGUGGUGGAGUAGAAGUAGAAAGUGAC
Etheostoma cragini (Arkansas darter) is the source of this 325-nucleotide long non-coding RNA. RefSeq lists it as uncharacterized. Lineage: Eukaryota; Metazoa; Chordata; Actinopteri; Perciformes; Percidae. The record is from RefSeq and is a predicted model, not a curated record. The transcript is spliced from 2 exons.